CAGGGAUUGCCCUAGUAACGGCGAGUGAAGCGGCAACAGCUCAAAUUUGAAAUCUGGCUCUCUUUGGGGGUCCGAGUUGUAAUUUGCAGAGGAUGCUUUGGCAUUGGCGGCGGUCUAAGUUCCUUGGAACAGGACAUCACAGAGGGUGAGAAUCCCGUACGUGGUCGCCUGCCCUUGCCGUGUAAAGCUCCUUCGACGAGUCGAGUUGUUUGGGAAUGCAGCUCUAAAUGGGAGGUAAAUUUCUUCUAAAGCUAAAUACUGGCCAGAGACCGAUAGCGCACAAGUAGAGUGAUCGAAAGAUGAAAAGUACUUUGGAAAGAGAGUCAAAAAGCACGUGAAAUUGUUGAAAGGGAAGCGCUUGCAGCCAGACUUGCCCGCAGUUGCUCACCUAGGCUUUCGCCUGGGGCACUCUUCUGCGGGCAGGCCAGCAUCAGUUUGGGCGGUUGGAUAAAGGCCUCUGUCACGUAUCUCCCUUCGGGGUGACCUUAUAGGGGAGGCGCAAUGCAACCAGCCCGGACUGAGGUCCGCGCAUCUGCUAGGAUGCUGGCGUAAUGGCUGUAAGCGGCCCGUCUUGAAACACGGACCAAGGAGUCUAACAUCUAUGCGAGUGUUUGGGUGUCAAGCCCGAGCGCGCAAUGAAAGUGAACGGAGGUGGGAACCCUUUGGGUGCACCAUCGACCGAUCCUGAUGUCUUCGGAUGGAUUUGAGUAAGAGCAUAGCUGUUGGGACCCGAAAGAUGGUGAACUAUGCUUGAAUAGGGUGAAGCCAGAGGAAACUCUGGUGGAGGCUCGCAGCGGUUCUGACGUGCAAAUCGAUCGUCAAAUUUGGGCAUAGGGGCGAAAGACUAAU
RNAcentral lists this ribosomal RNA (849 nucleotides) under Paraphaeosphaeria neglecta. Its description in RNAcentral is "partial large subunit ribosomal RNA". It matches the Rfam family "Eukaryotic large subunit ribosomal RNA", at positions 69 to 935 of the family's 3401-position model. Lineage: Eukaryota; Fungi; Ascomycota; Dothideomycetes; Pleosporales; Didymosphaeriaceae. The record is from RNAcentral.